Molecule: ribosomal RNA, 408 nt
Filed under: uncultured bacterium
Lineage: Bacteria
Description: partial 16S ribosomal RNA
Rfam family: Bacterial small subunit ribosomal RNA
Source: RNAcentral
AGUGAACGCUGGCGGCGUGCAUAAUACAUGCAAGUCGAAGGAAGUGGCGCACGGGUGAGUGAAAUAUAGCUAAUCUGCCCCUAGCUGGAGGACAAACGUCAGAAAUGACUGCUAAUACUCCAUAGCAAGGGAUGAGACUAUAUCGUAUCAGCUCGUCGAUGUGGUAACGGCGUACCGAGGCUAUGACUAGUAACUGGUCUGUGAGGAUGAGCAGUCAAAUUUGAACUGAGACACGAUCGAAGAUCCUACCGCAAGGAGCGGUAGGGAAUAUUACGCAAUGGGCGAGUCCGUGACGCAGCUACGCCGCGUGAAGGAUGACACUUUGCGAGGCAUAAGCUACUUUUGUUACGGAAGCGGUACCUAACGAAUAAGCACCGGCUAACUCCGUGCCAGCAGCCGCGGUAAUAC